CGCCACGCCCGCUCAGAAACUACAAAGGAAGUGACGGGACCCCGCACAAGCGGUGGAUCAUGUUGUUUAAUUCGAUGAUACGCGAAGAACCUUACCAGGUCUUGACAUCCCCCGCGAUGCUUUAGAGAUAAAGCGGAGGUAUUCGGGGAGACAGGUGGUGCAUGGUUGUCGUCAGCUCGUGUCGUGAGAUGUUGGGUUAAGUCCCGCAACGAGCGCAACCCCUAUUGCUAGUUACCAUCAUUAAGUUGGGGACUCUAGCGAGACUGCCAGUGAUAAACUGGAGGAAGGUGGGGAUGACGUCAAAUCAUCAUGCCCCUUAUGACCUGGGCUACAAACGUGAUACAAUGGCUGGAACAAAGGGAUGCGAAGCAGUGAUGUGGAGCGAAACCCAUAAAAACAGUCUCAGUUCGGAUUGAAGUCUGCAACUCGACUUCAUGAAGUCGGAAUCGCUAGUAAUCGUGGAUCAGCAUGCCACGGUGAAUACGUUCCCGGGCCUU
RNAcentral lists this ribosomal RNA (497 nucleotides) under uncultured Acholeplasma sp. RNAcentral's name for it is "bacterial SSU rRNA". It matches the Rfam family "Bacterial small subunit ribosomal RNA", at positions 903 to 1382 of the family's 1533-position model. The record is from RNAcentral. Lineage: Bacteria; Bacillati; Mycoplasmatota; Mollicutes; Acholeplasmatales; Acholeplasmataceae.